GGAGGGGUGGCCGAGCGGCUUAAGGCGGUGGUCUUGAAAACCACUGACCCGACAGGGUCCGGGGGUUCGAAUCCCUCCCCCUCCG
Molecule: transfer RNA, 85 nt
Filed under: Acidobacteriota bacterium
Lineage: Bacteria; Pseudomonadati; Acidobacteriota
Description: Acidobacteria bacterium tRNA-Ser
Rfam family: tRNA
About the family: Transfer RNA (tRNA) molecules are approximately 80 nucleotides in length. Their secondary structure includes four short double-helical elements and three loops (D, anti-codon, and T loops).
Source: RNAcentral